GAACUGCGAUAAGUAAUGUGAAUUGCAGAAUUCAGUGAAUCAUCGAGUCUUUGAACGCACAUUGCGCCCCCUGGCAUUCCGGGGGGCAUGCCUGUCCGAGCGUCAUUGCUGCCCUUCAAGCCCGGCUUGUGUGUUGGGUCGUCGUCCCCUCCGGGGGACGGGCCCGAAAGGCAGCGGCGGCACCGCGUCCGGUCCUCGAGCGUAUGGGGCUUUGUCACCCGCUCGAUAAGGACCGGCCGGGCGCUAGCCGGCGUCUCCAACCUUUUUUUCUCAGGUUGACCUCGGAUCAGGUAGGGAUACCCGCUGAACUUAAGC
This 315-nucleotide unclassified non-coding RNA is filed under the name plant metagenome. Its description in RNAcentral is "partial contains 5.8S ribosomal RNA, internal transcribed spacer 2, and large subunit ribosomal RNA". The stretch from base 1 to 105 matches the Rfam family "5.8S ribosomal RNA", at positions 50 to 154 of the family's 154-position model. The record is from RNAcentral.